CAACAGACUGAAUUGUAAAAUAAAAUUGAAAAUGAUUUAUAUUUAGGAAACUCCAGGAAAUAACCAAAGUAAUGUAAACCCAGUUAAUUCUUUGUUGAUAUAUAUAUAUUUAAAAAAUGCUUUAUUUAUUGGUAGUUACAACUAAAGGAAAUCUGAUACAUCCCAGGAAAAAUAAACUAGGGCUUUGCCUAACGAUUACUUUCAUUAUUGAUUCAUCUGCAGGAUAUUUUUUCAAUCAAUCGCUUGGUCUAAUAGUGAAAAAUGCUCAUCAAAAUUUUCUAAACCCCAAGAUGACGUCCUCAAAUGUCUUGUUUUGUCCACAAAUUCAAAGAUAUUCAUCAAUUUACUGUCAUAAAGAAGUAAAGAAACCAGAAAAUAUUCACAUUUAAGAUGCUGGAAUCUGAGAAUU
Molecule: long non-coding RNA, 409 nt
Organism: Sebastes umbrosus (honeycomb rockfish)
Lineage: Eukaryota; Metazoa; Chordata; Actinopteri; Perciformes; Sebastidae
Exons: 2
Source: RefSeq, a predicted model, not a curated record